This 771-nucleotide long non-coding RNA is filed under the name Nicotiana benthamiana. Its description in RNAcentral is "long non-coding RNA (NBEN_LNC006290)". The record is from RNAcentral. Lineage: Eukaryota; Viridiplantae; Streptophyta; Magnoliopsida; Solanales; Solanaceae.
UUUCAUCCUACCACAAUAUGAAUUCUAAAUGUUGGAAUUAAUUCAAGAUGGGAGGAUUUAGCAUAAGGUUAAGGAUACUUUUAUGGUAUGUUUUGAGGUGUGGAAGAAGAUGAAGUUACUGAAAAAGUUAGCCAUAAGUGAAGUGUAAUGAUGAGUGCAUGGAGAGAUUCUAUAUAUGAGUUGGGAUGGUUUCAUGUUAGAGCUAGCUUGAUUGGCGCCAUUGAAAAGCUAUUAUAUGAUUUGCUAUCUUAUGAGUAUUUAUAUGUAUGUGAGGUGGGAGGCAUUAGCACACUUCAACACUUAAAAGUCACCACAGCAGGUAACACAGACUUGGUUCUCUUCUCACUUUAUCCUACAUUUAUUUAAAUGAAAAAGACAAGUGUUAUCCCAUGACUAAUACUUUCAAAUUUUUUUACAUUGGAGGAGCAGGAAGGGAAAGUGAAGAGCUACAAUAAAAAGUUGUGAAAAAUCCAAGUACGCUCAAAGUUUAGCUGUGAAAUUUCUGAUUUUCAAAUCAAAGGCUGGAGUCCAUAUUCCUGUUUGAUUUGCUAAAUUCCAGAAACAAAAUUUAAUUAGUAAAGUCUAUGGUCUAAGUUGGUGGUAGGACACAUGUGAAGUUACUCCCCAGCAGUUAAGAGGUAAAGUUAGGGAAUUGGUUUACAGCUAUACAUGGUCUAAUUCUAAUAUAGAGUCUGUCCUUUUUUAUUAUAAGUAUUAUUGAACACAUAUGUUGAAUCUUAUAAAUGAUUUAGUUUCAAAAUUACCCUCAUU